Apis cerana (Asiatic honeybee) is the source of this 1802-nucleotide long non-coding RNA. RefSeq lists it as uncharacterized. Lineage: Eukaryota; Metazoa; Arthropoda; Insecta; Hymenoptera; Apidae. The record is from RefSeq and is a predicted model, not a curated record.
AGAUCAUAUUUUGUUUACAAAAUUAUAUUCAGCAAUUAGUUCUGUAUUUAAAUAGUAUUUAUUGAUUUUCAAAAAUUUUAUUUUUUGAAUAUCUUUAUAUAUGAUUCAUUCAUUGAAAUUUGUAAAUUAUAUGUACUAAUAUCCAUAUCGCUUUCUCUUUUGAAUGACAAGAAAUUCAAAAAUUUAUUACUGCAUUGACAAAAUCAAGAGUGAUAAAGGGAUAUCAUUACAAGAUGGCCAGGGAUUUCUCGAUCGACAGGUUAAAAGGAAGAAUGUACACAUAUACAAGGUGGGGAGUUGCGUUGCGCAGAACGUCCUCUGUUCGAGAAAGAGAAUCUGACUCGUGAUAGAUAUGCGUUUGUGUGCGCUCGCACGCGCACGAUAGUGUCAGAUACACAGAAUUGUGUAAAGAAAAAGGUGAACAUGAGAAGAGAGGGAGUAUUGGAAAUGGGACGGGAAUUAGAUGACGCCGUGGCAGCAGCCACCUAGCCACCCAUUUCAGUGACAGCGACAGCGACGGCAAUUCUUUAUGAGGUGUUGCUAGUUGCUUGUAUCCGUUAUUUUUUUCUUAAUUUUAAUUAUUGAGAAUAAGUGAGCUUAAUAAUUUUUUUUGAUAAUCUCUUAGUAAUAUAUUUAUUCAUAUACUAUAUAAUAAUAAGAAUUAUUAAAUAAUUAAUUAAUUUAAAAUACGAUAUCAAGUAUUCAAUGUUAUUUUUAGUCUUGAAUUUUAUUUUGCUUUUAACAGAUGUAUUUUUAAUAUUCUUUCAAAAUCAAUUAUAGUUUUUUAAUAAUAUUUAUAUUAACAAAUGUCAUAAUAUUUAUUCAAAUCAUUAAAAAAAAUUCAUUAUUUUUAUAAAAAAUGUUGAAUUUUACUUGCGAAUUAUAUCUUAAGUAUUUCAUACUUAAAAAAUUAUAUUAUGAUUAAUUUUAUAAAAAUAAACCUUAGAUUCAUUAAUUUAAUAUUCCAAUAUUCUGAUAUUAGUUAUUGAUUAUUUUAAUAUUAUGAUAUUUAUAUUUAAUAAUUGAAUAAAAGAAAUAUAUGAUAAAAUCUUUAAAUUUUGAAGUUAAAAUAAAAAUUGUGUAAUUUAUUAGCUAUUCUUCAAAAUUUGUUUCUUAUAAUAUAUGUUUUAAAAAAAUAAAUUGAAAAAUAAAAAAAAUGAAAUAGUAUAUUUUAUAAGUUUUAAAUAUUUCAUUAUAUCAUUUCAUAAGUAUAUUAUUAAAAGAUAUAAGAAUUUUUAUGUCUAUAUUACUUUUGGUAAAAUCAGAAAUAUUCAUAAUCAAAUUUAUAAGUUAAAAAAAUAUUCAAAAUCAAUAUUUUAUAAAUUUUAAUUUUCUUGAAGAAUAAUAAUUAUUCAUUUAUAAUUGAUUUAUAAUAUUUUUUUUUAUAAUUCUUCAUUCUUUGAAACCAAAAAAAAACAAGUAUUUUAAUUUUAAAGUAUUAUCAUAAUUUCUUUUAAUAGUAAUAAUAUUAAUAUUAUGAUAUUAUUAAUUUAUAAAAUCUCAAAAUAUAAAAAUUAUGUUUUAUUAUGCAUUAAUACUAUUGAAAAUUUGUAUUUUAUUGUAAAAACUUAAUACAAUAUCAAAUUUAAAUUUUGAAUUUAAAAUCUUAAAUAAAUAUAUAAAUAAAGAAAGAAUUGGCAAAAAUCAAAUAAAGUAAGAAAUAAAAUUGUGUCAUAUUAAUUAUAUAUAUUAAUAUACUAUAUAUAGUGUACUAUAACACAAGUUCAUUUUAAUAUUUUAUUGCUAUAGAAUAUAUUGUACUUAAAUUAUAUUUAUUUCAAUAAAUCACUAUUUAUCAAUUA